GGUCAGAAGUGGGAUUCGAACUCCAAGCCCACAUUCGUGGACCAGAACUCAACACUGCGACAGAGCAAGGAACCUUGAGUCUGGCGCCUUAGACCGCUCGGCCAUCCUGAC
This is a non-coding RNA of Araneus ventricosus, 111 nucleotides long. NCBI's taxonomy places the organism in Eukaryota, Metazoa, Arthropoda, Arachnida, Araneae, Araneidae. The record is from the annotation of a GenBank genome assembly.